AUUGAACGCUGGCGGCAUGCCUUACACAUGCAAGUCGAACGGUAACAGGUCUUCGGAUGCUGACGAGUGGCGAACGGGUGAGUAAUACAUCGGAACGUGCCUAGUAGUGGGGGAUAACUACUCGAAAGAGUGGCUAAUACCGCAUGAGAUCUACGGAUGAAAGAAGGGGAUCGCAAGACCUUGUGCUACUAGAGCGGCCGAUUGCAGAUUAGGUAGUUGGUGGGAUAAAAGCUUACCAAGCCGACGAUCUGUAGCUGGUUGGAGAGGACGAUCAGCCACACUGGGACUGAGACACGGCCCAGACUCCUAAGGGAGGCAGCAGUGGGGAAUUUUGGACAAUGGGCGCAAGCCUGAUCCAGCAAUGCCGCGUGCAGGAUGAAGGCCUUCGGGUUGUAAACUGCUUUUGUACGGAACGAAAAGCCCCGGGUUAAUACCCUGGGGUCAUGACGGUACCGUAAGAAUAAGCACCGGCUAACUACGUGCCAGCAGCCGCCGUAA
RNAcentral lists this ribosomal RNA (498 nucleotides) under uncultured bacterium. Its description in RNAcentral is "partial 16S ribosomal RNA". It matches the Rfam family "Bacterial small subunit ribosomal RNA", at positions 30 to 523 of the family's 1533-position model. The record is from RNAcentral.